Molecule: long non-coding RNA, 994 nt
Organism: Arachis stenosperma
Lineage: Eukaryota; Viridiplantae; Streptophyta; Magnoliopsida; Fabales; Fabaceae
Exons: 4
Source: RefSeq, a predicted model, not a curated record
AAUCAGAGUUUUAAAGAGGAGACAUUUGUCUCUGCUAGGGUUCUUACCUCCUUCUACCACCGUCACUCGUUCUUUGUUCUUCUCCAUUUGCGGUCGCUCGUUCUCUAAUCCUUGCCGUGAGCUGUUGCUGGUUCUCUGCUCCUCACUGUGCGCCGUCGUUGCGACUCUACUUCUCCCCGUGUCUCGCCGUAUCUCGCCGCCGCUGAUGGGGUAUAAUAGCAAUGAAGUGCUGUAAUAAGGUAGUGAUUGCCAAGAAGAGUUCACACAGCUGGCAAAGACUCGAAAUUCAUCCCAAAAAGACAUCGGGUGGAGUGAGGGGCUCAUUCGGUAGUGUUAGUGAUUGCUAAUUCAUUGUUGGCUUGGGCACCUCUUGAUGCUGCAGGAACCUCUUCAUCUAUUUCUCAGCCAAUUUGAUUUCAUUUCUUUGUUUCUAUACACACAAAGGGGAGGUAACAUUCUUUAAUUUGUCUAGGUAGGGGGAUCAAACACCAAAGAAAUUUGUUAUUAUUAUUCUUUCAUUCUUUGUUGCAGAUAACAUUUCUUUCUUGUGCUUUCGUAAGAAGAAUGAAUAUUCUCAUAGAAAAUUUUGAAGCACUAAUGAUACAGUUUUGGGGGAAAUGAAGAAAGACUACAUGCUAUAUGGAGGGAAGGGCAUUACCAGAAAUUAUCCUAGUUAAAUGUCUAUACGAAUGCUAAAGAUUGUCAUAUAUGCUGUUAAGUUAAUGCAUGGUGCAUUAGAACCUUUGUUAAUUUUUUUUUUUUUUUUGAAAGUUGUAUUCAAUUAGAACAAUAAUGAAAGAGUUCCCAAAAUGAGUUUUGGUUAUUCUUGAAGAAAUUGAAGACAAAAAUUUGAGGUUAUUUGAGGUGAAAUAGAUAAAUGGAGUGUUAUUUGUGUUGGUUCCUUUUUCUAAAGCUUUCCAAAUGCUUUUAAUGGUACUCCAUGGCUUGAAUAUUCCAGAUAGAACUAAUGAACUAUUAUCUCAUCCUUUAGCUG